UGACAAUGCAAAUCCACUGUUACCGAGCGCUCGGUUUAUGAUAUUGAGUUGCUACACCACCUGGCAUAUCAGGAGAGUUCUUCGUGGAGUUAUAGCAAUAAAAUCCGAUGGUGUGCGAGAUUAUACUGUGGUGACACAUCUUAUUGAAUGAUGUGAAUAAUUUGGAGCUGUGUGGAUUUGAGCUGAAGUUCACCACGUCUCCUCCUCCUGAUUUUCAUAUUCUCUGAUUGCUUGUGAAAGACAGUACAUGGCCCCCUAUACACCAAAGUGAAGACAAAAAAAUUCAUUACAAGGUAUCGACCAUAUUAAAUUAUAGAAAAUUCAUCACCAAUAAACGUCAAGAUUGAGUUACCUACAAGGAUGACCAUUAUACAUAUGGGACAUCUGAAACCUUUUUGUGAACAAAUCUGAUAGUCAAAUAUCACUGAGUAAGAACAAUAACAACAAUUUUGCAACAAAACAGUUAAAUUUUCAUUCCAAUCAGAAGAGACAGAUGUAAAAUGACAUAAAAUUAGAAUAAAUGUUAUGCUAUGGAAACAAAUUGCUUUCCAUACCUACUGUAUCACUGACACCAGACAGUAGAGUCUCUAUAACUUCUCAUAGGGUGGAAAAUUUAAGUGAAACACUGAGAAACAG
This is a long non-coding RNA of Schistocerca gregaria, 636 nucleotides long. RefSeq lists it as uncharacterized. The transcript has 4 exons. NCBI's taxonomy places the organism in Eukaryota, Metazoa, Arthropoda, Insecta, Orthoptera, Acrididae. The record is from RefSeq and is a predicted model, not a curated record.